AGAGUUUGAUUAUGGCUCAGAUUGAACGCUGGCGGCAUGCUUUACACAUGCAAGUCGAACGGCAGCAUAGGGAGCUUGCUCCCUGAUGGCGAGUGGCGCACGGGUGAGUAAUACAUCGGAACGUGUCCUUUUGUGGGGGAUAACUGUCCGAAAGGACAGCUAAUACCGCAUAAGACCUGAGGGUGAAAGCAGGGGAUCGCAAGACCUUGCGCGAGAGGAGCGGCCGAUGGCCGAUUAGCUUGUUGGGGAGGUAAAGGCUCACCAAGGCGACGAUCGGUAGCUGGUCUGAGAGGACGACCAGCCACACUGGGACUGAGACACGGCCCAG
This 328-nucleotide ribosomal RNA is filed under the name uncultured bacterium. RNAcentral describes it as "bacterial SSU rRNA". It matches the Rfam family "Bacterial small subunit ribosomal RNA", at positions 8 to 334 of the family's 1533-position model. The record is from RNAcentral.